UCGUGUCCUGAGAACGAGGUACGCGACUCCUAUCGGGAUCGUCGACACGUCGGGCGGCCUUGCUGGAUUAGUUUUACCUUUGACGAGAUAUCUUGUGCAUCGAGAUUCCGGUGAUGCUUUGGGUAAUCUCAGAGUUGAGGUUUUCCACUAGGGGUCCGACGAGAUCACGAGCUUCGUCAUUGAGGAUUUCUAUGCGGCUUGUGGUAAUUUGUGAUGGACUAGUUGGAGCACCCCUGCAGGGUUAAAUCUUUCGGAAAGCCGUGCCCGCGGUUAUGAGGCAA
This 281-nucleotide long non-coding RNA is filed under the name Hordeum vulgare. RNAcentral's name for it is "long non-coding RNA (HVUL_LNC010318)". Lineage: Eukaryota; Viridiplantae; Streptophyta; Magnoliopsida; Poales; Poaceae. The record is from RNAcentral.